Long non-coding RNA from Mercenaria mercenaria, 4608 nucleotides. RefSeq lists it as uncharacterized. The record is from RefSeq and is a predicted model, not a curated record. NCBI's taxonomy places the organism in Eukaryota, Metazoa, Mollusca, Bivalvia, Venerida, Veneridae. The transcript has 4 exons.
UGACAGGCACAGCAAAAAGCUAUUGUUGACAUCUGGUUCUGUGACAUAACUUUCCUUUUUUCCUGAACAUAUUGAGAGAUUUGUCAAGUUAUGUAUUCGCUGGUAGUUAUUUAAAUUUUACAAAAUAACAAUUUCGGUAACUAAACUUAAGGAUUAUAUAUCCAUAUGUAAUAAGAGGAUUUAUAACAUGACAGUUAGUUGCCAAUUGUAUCUAGCAGACGACACUUGCUGCUUCUACCAGAUGAAGCCAGUGGCGGAAGAAGGGACCCGAUGCCUGGAAUAACUUUGCAGUAUAAAAUUUUGCAUUGUUCGAUUGGUCAAGAUAGAGAUGUUUUAGUGGAAUACAGAUCGUCUGUAUUUGCCCUGUCCUGCUGAUGGUAGAGAGCUCUUCCACACCUCUUGCACAGAUCAGAAUCCGCGAGGUAAGAGACGAAUUUAUUCAGGUUUAAAACGACAGGAAGACAGUGUUUUACAUUGUUGAAAGACAAAGAAAAAGAAUCGAUUCCAGAACGUGCCGUCCUGUGUUUGUUGUUUUCGGCAGUUGAGGGGUGAGUUUGGUGCAUGCCAGAUACUAUCUAUUGAUUUCAAACACUCUAGUGAGAAAUAUAUGCAGAAGAAAGAACCAAGUAUGAUAAAUCCACGACAGACCUGGCACAAGCAUAUAGCAUGACACCACUACAGCCGCCAUGACAAAAGCAUAGUUAAACAAAUUAGACAUAAGCUAACAUAUAUAUAAUUGUACCCACCGACAACAAAAUUGUAAGGGGGGGGGUAUACUGGUUUCAGGUUGUCUGUCUGUCUGUCCGUCUGUCCGUCUGGUCGUCUGUCCGUCUGUCCGUAGACGCAAUCUUGUGCGCACCAUCUCUCCUUAUCCCCUUGACAGAAAUUAAUGAAACUUCACACAAGUGAUCAGUACCAACAGUAGUUGUGCAUUGGGCAUGUUAGGUUCUUUUAGAAAAAAAAUUUGCAGAGUUAUGGGACUUUGUUUUUUUGUUACUAUACUAUAUACAUAGACACAAUCUUGUGCGCACCAUCUCUCCCCAUUCCCUGGACACAAUUUAAUGAAACUUCACACAAGUGAUCAGUUCCAACAGUAGUUGUGCAUGGGGCAUGUUAGGUUCUUUUAGAAAAAUUUUUUGCAGAGUUAUGGGACUUUGUUUUUUGUUACUAUACUAUAUACAUAGACACAAUCUUGUGCGCAGCAUCUCUCCUCAUCCCCUUGACACAAAUUAAUGGAACUUCACACAAGUGAUCAGUAACAACAGUAGUUGUGCAUGGGGCAUGUUAGGUUCUUUCAGAAAUUUUUUUUCCAGAGUUAUGGGACUUUGUUUUUUUUGUUACUAUACUAUAGACAUAGACACAAUCUUGUUGGCACCAUCUCUCCUCAUCCCCUUGACACAAUUUAAUGAAACUUCACACAACUGAUCAGUAACAACAGUAGUUGUGCAUGGGGCAUGUUAGGUUCUUUCAGCGACAAAAAUUGCAGAGUUAUGGGACUUUGUUUCUUGUUAACAUACUAUGUACAUACAGUCUGCAUAUGCAAUCUUGUGCAUGCCUAAUCUACCAAACCCUUGCACACAAUUUAAUGAAACUUCACACAAGUGAUCAGUACCAACCCUAGCUGUGCAUAGGGCAUGUUACAUUCUUUUAGAUAAAUAUUCUGCAUAGUUAUGGGACUUUGUUUUUUGUUACUAUACUGUAUACAUACAGUCUAUAUACAUACAGUCCACAUACUUAUGCAGUCUUGUGUGUGUCAAAUUGCAAUGUACUGUGUCAGUGCAUGCAUGGGGUACAUUCAUCACCUUUAGUGAUAGCUCUAGUUAUGCCCCAACGUACAAAGUAUAUUGGGCUAUGUUGGAGUCACGCAUGUCCAGUCCAUCCGUCCGUCCGUUCAUUUGUCCACCAUGGCCGCUGGGAUGAUUUUCAUAAAACUAACAUAAAUUAUAAACCAUAUCAAGACGAUGUACAGAGCGCUCAAUCUAGGUCACAAGGCCCAAGGUCAAGAUUACUCGUGGAGGUCAAAGGUCAAAUAGCUUAGCUUCAUGUCCGCUCUAUAUUGUCUAAACGGCUUUGAAAAUAUUAAGCUCGACUGUUUGAAGAAUAAGGAGGAUUACUGUACUUUCCUUGGCGUCUGUGUCACUGUUACCUUUGCAUUGAAAGUUAAAAUUUUAGGACAAGCUUCUCAGUGUCACUAUAUCUUCUUACUACUGCCCUUAUUAACAUCAAACUUCACAUAAGUGUUGGUCUUGGUAAGGGAAAGACAUCUACAUGUAUUAGUUUAGGAACAAGUAUCCUAAAUGUCGAAGUCACUGGCUUAAAUAUUGUGAUAGUGCUGGUUAAAGUUCCAUGAUAAGCUUCUCAAUUUCACAAUAUAACCUCACAUAAGGAUUGAUCUUGGAACGUGGCAGAAAUCUUUUUGUUUAGGGUCAGGUUGCUCAAAGGUCAAGGUUACUGGGUUCAGAUUUUGUAACAGUGUUGGUUCAAGUCUUGUGGCACAUUUCUCAAUUUGACUUAUAUCUCAUAACGUUUCUUAGAACUGGUAUCCCUCAUGUCCUAUCCUUUUAGCUAUACCCACACUUCAUCUACGUUCCUCCCGACACCCACCCAAAAAUGCGUUCCGUACAAAAACUUAUAAUUUCAUGUUUCCAUCAACUCCCCUACUCCGCUGUCUUCACCUACCUCCUCCGCCCCAUUUCACCGAACCUUUGCCCUCGUCCCCUCCAUAAAAAGGAUAAUAAAUUCCUUUUCGAUCUCCCACACUUACUUAUAAUAAUAACAAUAUUUUGUUAAACAUUUUCGUUAUAGUCGAGCAGACACAGUUAACUCAUAUCACUAGGCCCACGGUCAAUGUCACACCUAAAAAUCAAAAGUCAUGAUGACAACAUUUUACUUUCCCUUUAUCAAAGUGAGGUCUGGGGGUAUUAAUCGACUUCAGUGAUAGCCUUAGUUGAUCAGGUGUUAGUGGCAUAAAUGUGUAACAUUUGCUUUAUUAGGGGCGGGGGAUAGGAAUGGUUUUCGUCCGUCCGUCUGUCCGUCCGUCUGCCCGUCCGCAACACUUUCGUGUCCAGGCCAUAUCUCCUAAACCCCUUGAAGGAUUUUCAUGAAUUUUGGAUCCAAUUAUCAACUCAUCAAGAUGAUGUGCAGAAUUCAUAAAUCAGUCAUGUCAGUUCAAGUUACCCUUUCACUAUCCAUAACAGUGGCGGGGGUUUUAGCUGUCUUUCAGCCUUCCAUUUUGUGUCCGCUUUGUAUCUCCUAAACCCCUUGAAAGAUUUUCAUGAAACUUGGGUCAACUUAUCAACUCAUCAAGAUGAUGUGCAGAAUUCAUAAAUCAGUCAUGUCAGUUCAAGUUACCCUUUCACUAUCCAUAACAGUGGCAGGGGUUUUAGCUGUCUUUCAGACUGCCAUGUAAUAAUUGAUUUUAGGACGGGAGAUAUUUGUUUGUUUCAGUGUAAGAUCGAUCAAAUCAUUCUAAAUACAUCUCACGAAAAUGUAAACUAGUGUUCAAGCGUGAAAAGUUAUCAAUUUUACUAUAAAUCAAAGAAAUUUUAUAUUAUGCAAUUAAAUAUAUGUGUACUAUUAAUCAUAGAAAUUUUAUAUUAUGUAGUUAAAUGUAUGCGUGCUAUAAAUCAAAGAAAUAUAUGCAGUUAAAUGUAUGUGUACUAUAAAUCAAAGAAAUUUUAUAUUAUGCAGUUAAAUGUACGUAUGUAUGCGUGCUAUAAAUCAAAGAAAUUUAUGCAGUCAAAUGUAUGUGUACUAUAAAUCAAAGAAAUUUUAUAUUAUGCAAUUAAAUAUAUGUGUACUAUAAAUCAAAGAAAUUUUAUAUUGUGCAAUUAAAUACAUGUGUACUAAAUUGUACACAUUUUACAAGUAUAACAUCUCACCCAACGCGCAACGUUACGCUUAAAAUUAUGGCAAUAUAUAUGUUGGAAAAAGUUAUAUAGUUCUACUAGAUUGAUUUCUUUUACAUUUUAAUAUAAUUACUUUUUAAUGUUUUUUUUUUCUAUAAAAACAAUCAGAUUAUAUAUAAUUCAUAUUCUUUUGCGUUAAAUUGGUGUUGCGUGCAGGUGAACACUGUAUUUGGAUUUCUUACUUCUGAAACAGCGGGUUUAUCAAGGUAUGAUCUAUCGUUUUAUUUCAACAAUAUUUGAAAACUUGGAAAGAAAUUCAAUAAAACUAUAAAAUGUAGCGAUAAAAUCAUAGCUCUUUUGUUUAUUCAAACACACUUUCUACUGCACUUUGUCUGGUUGGUAUCAACGUAGCUUUUAAAAGUAAGUUUAGCCUCAUUUCUUGUUCACUGACUUUUACACUGUUUGGUAUAACUCUUAAUCGACACCAAACUUUAUGCACUAACAUUAACUCUUGCGGCUAAAAUUACUUUUAAAGCAAUUCUGUCUAUUAUCAGGGACAAAGUGUUAAACUGGUAAAUCUUUAGGAACGAUGGGUAGAAAGAUUAGCUGAUCAAAUAUUUAGUAGAAUUGUUGGCAAAGUUUUUGGUUUUAGUCAUCGCUUUAAAUAAUUACUGGGAUAUAACGUUAGAUUAUAACAUGAUAAACUCGUUGUUUCAAACGGAGAGAAAUCCAAAUAUGAUUUUUCACUAGUACGGAACAA